This 465-nucleotide ribosomal RNA is filed under the name Vreelandella stevensii. Its description in RNAcentral is "partial 16S ribosomal RNA". It matches the Rfam family "Bacterial small subunit ribosomal RNA", at positions 338 to 795 of the family's 1533-position model. Lineage: Bacteria; Pseudomonadati; Pseudomonadota; Gammaproteobacteria; Oceanospirillales; Halomonadaceae. The record is from RNAcentral.
CCUACGGGCGGCUGCAGUAGGGAAUAUUGGACAAUGGGGGGAACCCUGAUCCAGCCAUGCCGCGUGUGUGAAGAAGGCCCUCGGGUUGUAAAGCACUUUCAGUGAGGAAGAACGCCUGGUGGUUAAUACCCAUCAGGAAAGACAUCACUCACAGAAGAAGCACCGGCUAACUCCGUGCCAGCAGCCGCGGUAAUACGGAGGGUGCGAGCGUUAAUCGGAAUUACUGGGCGUAAAGCGCGCGUAGGUGGCUUGAUAAGCCGGUUGUGAAAGCCCCGGGCUCAACCUGGGAACGGCAUCCGGAACUGUCAAGCUAGAGUGCAGGAGAGGAAGGUAGAAUUCCCGGUGUAGCGGUGAAAUGCGUAGAGAUCGGGAGGAAUACCAGUGGCGAAGGCGGCCUUCUGGACUGACACUGACACUGAGGUGCGAAAGCGUGGGUAGCAAACAGGAUUAGAUACCCUUGUAGUC